UUGAAAAGCCGGUUCUCGACUGAUCACCGAAAUUAAGCAACGUCGAGCCUGGUCGCUAAUUAGAUGGGUGAACGCUUGGGAAUAUCAGGUGCUGGA
Molecule: non-coding RNA, 96 nt
Organism: Acanthosepion pharaonis
Lineage: Eukaryota; Metazoa; Mollusca; Cephalopoda; Sepiida; Sepiidae
Source: the annotation of a GenBank genome assembly